AUGAACGCUGGCGGCGUGCCUAAUACAUGCAAGUAGAACGCUGAAGGAAGGAGCUUGCUCUUUCCGGAUGAGUUGCGAACGGGUGAGUAACGCGUAGGUAACCUGCCUGGUAGCGGGGGAUAACUAUUGGAAACGAUAGCUAAUACCGCAUAACAGUAGAUGUUGCAUGACAACUAUUUGAAAGGGGCAAUUGCUCCACUACCAGAUGGACCUGCGUUGUAUUAGCUAGUUGGUGAGGUAACGGCUCACCAAGGCGACGAUACAUAGCCGACCUGAGAGGGUGAUCGGCCACACUGGGACUGAGACACGGCCCAGACUCCUACGGGAGGCAGCAGUAGGGAAUCUUCGGCAAUGGACGGAAGUCUGACCGAGCAACGCCGCGUGAGUGAAGAAGGUUUUCGGAUCGUAAAGCUCUGUUGUAAGAGAAGAACGAGUGUGAGAGUGGAAAGUUCACACUGUGACGGUAUCUUACCAGAAAGGGACGGCUAACUACGUG
Molecule: ribosomal RNA, 496 nt
Filed under: uncultured bacterium
Lineage: Bacteria
Description: partial 16S ribosomal RNA
Rfam family: Bacterial small subunit ribosomal RNA
Source: RNAcentral